This 864-nucleotide ribosomal RNA is filed under the name Alternaria alternata. RNAcentral's name for it is "SSU rRNA". It matches the Rfam family "Eukaryotic small subunit ribosomal RNA", at positions 69 to 944 of the family's 1831-position model. Lineage: Eukaryota; Fungi; Ascomycota; Dothideomycetes; Pleosporales; Pleosporaceae. The record is from RNAcentral.
GCAAUUAUACCGUGAAACUGCGAAUGGCUCAUUAAAUCAGUUAUCGUUUAUUUGAUAAUACCUUACUACUUGGAUAACCGUGGUAAUUCUAGAGCUAAUACAUGCUGAAAAUCCCGACUUCGGAAGGGAUGUGUUUAUUAGAUAAAAAACCAAUGCCCUUCGGGGCUUUUUGGUGAUUCAUGAUAACUUUACGGAUCGCAUAGCCUUGCGCUGGCGACGGUUCAUUCAAAUUUCUGCCCUAUCAACUUUCGAUGGUAAGGUAUUGGCUUACCAUGGUUUCAACGGGUAACGGGGAAUUAGGGUUCGAUUCCGGAGAGGGAGCCUGAGAAACGGCUACCACAUCCAAGGAAGGCAGCAGGCGCGCAAAUUACCCAAUCCCGACACGGGGAGGUAGUGACAAUAAAUACUGAUACAGGGCUCUUUUGGGUCUUGUAAUUGGAAUGAGUACAAUUUAAACCUCUUAACGAGGAACAAUUGGAGGGCAAGUCUGGUGCCAGCAGCCGCGGUAAUUCCAGCUCCAAUAGCGUAUAUUAAAGUUGUUGCAGUUAAAAAGCUCGUAGUUGAAACUUGGGCCUGGCUGGCGGGUCCGCCUCACCGCGUGCACUCGUCCGGCCGGGCCUUCCUUCUGAAGAACCUCAUGCCCUUCACUGGGCGUGCUGGGGAAUCAGGACUUUUACUUUGAAAAAAUUAGAGUGUUCAAAGCAGGCCUUUGCUCGAAUACGUUAGCAUGGAAUAAUAAAAUAGGGCGUGCGUUUCUAUUUUGUUGGUUUCUAGAGACGCCGCAAUGAUUAACAGGAACAGUCGGGGGCAUCAGUAUUCAGUUGUCAGAGGUGAAAUUCUUGGAUUUACUGAAGACUAACUACU